ACUCAUGUAUUCUAAGUAUAAAGAGCUGGAUUCUUACUUCAGUAAUGUGAUUUUCACUGUGAGUU
RNAcentral lists this transfer RNA (65 nucleotides) under Taenia hydatigena. Its description in RNAcentral is "tRNA-Lys". The record is from RNAcentral. Lineage: Eukaryota; Metazoa; Platyhelminthes; Cestoda; Cyclophyllidea; Taeniidae.